AGAUUAGAUCAGAUAUUUUCACAAUAUAUGCGUUGUAUGAUAUUUUUAUAAAUAUUAUAAGUAAAGCAUAAAAAAUAUGUUUAUAUAAUAAUAAUAUUUACAUUAAAAUAACACUAUUUUCCUGAUUCAUCAGUACAAUGGGUACUUUCAAACUUUUUUUUCACGUUUUCUACUUGAGGCAUGUAAGAGAACAAAACUUAUGUGGUGUUUUAAUUGUUGUACUCUUACAUAAAGGUACAAAACAUGGCUUAUAUGUGCUCUUUUUGCUCAUUUUUCAGAUAAAUGAAUAUUUUACUACAUAAAAAUAGUUCGGGUCUUGUAGUAUGCCGUCACAGAGUGUUCGAGAGGUCAUUGACUCGAUCAUUUCUAGACCGUAUUCGGAACCGAAAGAAUAAUCGGAUACGACUGUACGACCUCCAACCUCAAUGUCACAACAAUUUCUGAUGGAUAUUGAAGAUUGUGAAAUACCCGUAGUUAAACCACAUGUACAAGAAACAAAAAUUCAAUUGUUACAAUUGUCAAAAUUCGAAACAACAUAAUCCAAUGUAAAAUUGUAAUUUCGAGAACCAUUUAUUACUGCGGAAUGAAUUCACAUGUCUCAACCGUAUCAAAUGCGCAAGCGGAGUAUAUUUUAGAAACAACUUUAGAUCAAUGUAAGAGGAUGCACAACACCGGCACACUUAUCAUAAAUGUAAACAAUAAAAUCAAUGGAUUAAAGGUAAAAAAAACAACAUCCCGAUUAAUAACUUUUGCGGGAUCCGUAACAAUAAAUGAACAAUGUUUCGGAACACAGUAUUCAAAUCCUUAUGAUAUAUCGUAAAACGUAAUUGUACAAAGAAUAAUAACAGUCGAAAUUCCUAUCAAGCAUCAGUAAAUAUUGAGACAAAUAAAAUUUAUUUAAAAUCAGGAACAAUAUGUCAAUAUUCAGAUGGAAAAUGUAUGAAUA
Molecule: long non-coding RNA, 946 nt
Organism: Monomorium pharaonis (pharaoh ant)
Lineage: Eukaryota; Metazoa; Arthropoda; Insecta; Hymenoptera; Formicidae
Exons: 2
Source: RefSeq, a predicted model, not a curated record